AAUCAGAAUGCAGAUUACAUCCGUCCAUCUCCCCACCCCCAAGCACACAAAACGAAAGGAAAAAUAAAUCAUUGAAGAUACGACAGCAAGCAAAACAAUGGAAAGCUGCGAUAUGAAAUUAAUUGGACUAGUUGAAAAAGCCCCGUGCUUAUAUGAUAAAAGUAGCGGUGAUUAUAAAGAUAGGGUAAAAAAAAAACUAUACGUGGUUCCGUAUUGCCCGGGAGUUGAAUAUUUCAACUGAGGAUUGUGAGAAGAGGUGGACGCUGCUGCGUGAGCGUUUUUCACGGGAAAAGCGCUGUGCCAGAAUUGGUCCACCAUCGGGAGCUGCAGGCGGUGUUUCCGACAGGCAGCCAUCAAGCUAUUUCAAAGCAAUGCAAUUCCUCGACUUGCACGUCAAACCAAGAAAGACAAUUGGUAAUAUUCCACAAUGCUCUUCCCAGAAGAAAACAUUGUCUUUGGAUGAAGAACCAGAUAUGGACCCGUCAGCGCAUGAUUGGGAUGUGUAUGAAUUUCUAAAUUCGAAUGAUGAAAAUCAGUACAAAGAGGACUCUAUCGGCAUGAUUAUAACGGAUGAAAAUGAAAGGAGAAUCUACCGCCCAAGAAAAGGCGAACUGUCCCAUUAACGAAUCCUCCACAAGAAGGAAAUGGAAAAAAAGUGA
Long non-coding RNA from Neodiprion virginianus, 659 nucleotides. RefSeq lists it as uncharacterized. The transcript has 3 exons. The record is from RefSeq and is a predicted model, not a curated record. Lineage: Eukaryota; Metazoa; Arthropoda; Insecta; Hymenoptera; Diprionidae.